UUUCCGUAGGUGAACCUGCGGAAGGAUCAUUAUCGUACUAUAUGUGAGGGGCAUGCGACGGCUGUCGCUGACCCAAAAGUUGUGCUUGCACGAGUGUGUCUUCUUGCUUAAUAAUUCAUCUCACUCUUUAUGCAUCACCGCUUGGGCACCCUUUGGGAUCAUCUCGGUCGAGGGCUAGCGGUUUCACACCAAUCCCCCUUAUACAAGCGUAGUAUGUACACGUUUAUGCUAAAUAUUCAAAUUUUAACAACGGACCUCUUGGCUCCCGCAACGAUGUAA
RNAcentral lists this unclassified non-coding RNA (279 nucleotides) under plant metagenome. Its description in RNAcentral is "partial contains small subunit ribosomal RNA, internal transcribed spacer 1, and 5.8S ribosomal RNA". The record is from RNAcentral.